Molecule: long non-coding RNA, 635 nt
Filed under: Mus caroli (Ryukyu mouse)
Lineage: Eukaryota; Metazoa; Chordata; Mammalia; Rodentia; Muridae
Description: predicted gene 28864 (MGP_CAROLIEiJ_G0005903.1)
Source: RNAcentral
AGCCUCACCACUCUUCAAACUUGUGGAUGAGCCAUGGCUGAAGUCAGAGGCUGGUACAUUUUAACCCCCUAGCAGCAGCUUGCUGGUCCCCAGAGCAGCCUCCAAAGAUGCAGGCCUGUGAAUGGAGCCUUCACAAGGCCUCUCUCAAGAAGAGAACUCACAGUAUGGUGGAACCACAUGUUCUUCUAAGGAAGAAUUUUUUGUUUUCAUUUCAAACAACUCUGGUUGGUGACGAGUGGCCAGAAGAGGUGCUCUGUUUUCCAUCCUAACACCUAUUUGCAGGUGGGGGCAGGGAGGACUCCAACCUGAAAUGUUAUUUCAAACCCUUCCCUGGACUUACACCUCCAUUUCCAGGCCGCGUCACAUAGCACACAGCGUGUCCCGUUGCUUUGUAGUUUGAGCACCUUUCAAAGCAGGAAGAUGAGUCUGUUUCAGCUCUUCUCCUUCUGAUCUCAUACAUAAAAUAUCACUGCCUGAUGUGGUGCUUAAGUAAAUAGCUUCGCUGGGCACUGGCGGUCAUAGCCCUGAAAGGCCAGUUUGCCAGAGACAGCAAGCUCAGGACACUUCUCCCUGCCCUCCACAGACAGAGGUGAAACUGGUAUUUUUCAAAUGUUCCCUGCCUACCUUCUGCCAUC